UACGUAGGGUGCAAGCGUUGUCCGGAAUUAUUGGGCGUAAAGAGCUCGUAGGCGGCUUGUCGCGUCUGCUGUGAAAACCCGAGGCUCAACCUCGGGCCGCAGUGGGUACGGGCAGACUAGAGUGCGGUAGGGGAGAUUGGAAUUCCUGGUGUAGCGGUGGAAUGCGCAGAUAUCAGGAGGAACACCGAUGGCGAAGGCAGAUCUCUGGGCCGUAACUGACGCUGAGGAGCGAAAGCAUGGGGAGCGAACAGG
RNAcentral lists this ribosomal RNA (252 nucleotides) under uncultured bacterium. RNAcentral describes it as "partial 16S ribosomal RNA". It matches the Rfam family "Bacterial small subunit ribosomal RNA", at positions 524 to 776 of the family's 1533-position model. The record is from RNAcentral.